This is a long non-coding RNA of Helicoverpa zea (corn earworm), 443 nucleotides long. RefSeq lists it as uncharacterized. NCBI's taxonomy places the organism in Eukaryota, Metazoa, Arthropoda, Insecta, Lepidoptera, Noctuidae. The transcript is spliced from 2 exons. The record is from RefSeq and is a predicted model, not a curated record.
AGUAAAAAAUCUAAAAACAGAGAAAACGGACCAAAUCAAAAUGUAAAAGCAAAUUAAACCAAUUAACAUACCUACCUACAACAAAACAAUACCAGCCACCGGUAAUCUAUAAGCCACGGAAAACUACAAUUCAACAAAAACAAUCACUAGCACAAUGUCAACAAAAUCCCGAGGCAAGAGCAACUUCAAGGUCACUCUAGACACGGCGGCUCUAUCGAGAUUCAAUCAGAGUUUCAGUCUACUGGUAUACACGGCACUUACGUUCUUCGUGGUGCUGCUUGUAUACGUUGCUACAAAGGACUGGAAAGGCUACACGUGUCCAGAAGAAGUGGAUCUUGGAGCAGUUCAAGUGCCCUCCCAUACCUGUCGGCGCAAACACACUCAUUUUCGUAGACACUGAACAUAUGUAUUUGUAAGCAUUUAAUAAAAAAUACCGCACAUCA